AUGGAUUAAAUGGCGCACGGGUGAGUAACGCAUAGAUAACAUGCCCUUUAGUUUGGGAUAGCCACUAGAAAUGGUGAUUAAUACCAAAUACUACCCUACGGGGGAAAGAUUUAUCGCUAAAGGAUUGGUCUAUGUCCUAUCAGCUUGUUGGUGAGGUAAAGGCUCACCAAGGCGAUGACGGGUAUCCGGCCUGAGAGGGUGAACGGACACACUGGAACUGAGACACGGUCCAGACUCCUACGGGAGGCAGCAGUAGGGAAUAUUGCUCAAUGGGGGAAACCCUGAAGCAGCAACGCCGCGUGGAGGAUGAAGGUUUUAGGAUUGUAAACUCCUUUUGUGAGAGAAGAUC
Molecule: ribosomal RNA, 349 nt
Filed under: uncultured Helicobacter sp.
Lineage: Bacteria; Pseudomonadati; Campylobacterota; Epsilonproteobacteria; Campylobacterales; Helicobacteraceae
Description: bacterial SSU rRNA
Rfam family: Bacterial small subunit ribosomal RNA
Source: RNAcentral